This 316-nucleotide ribosomal RNA is filed under the name Crustacea environmental sample. RNAcentral describes it as "bacterial SSU rRNA". It matches the Rfam family "Eukaryotic small subunit ribosomal RNA", at positions 1140 to 1476 of the family's 1831-position model. Lineage: Eukaryota; Metazoa; Arthropoda. The record is from RNAcentral.
AAACUUAAAGGAAUUGACGGAAAGGCACCACCAGGCGUGGAGCUUGCGGCUCAAUUUGACUCAACACGGGAAAUCUCACCAGACCCGAACAUCUCUAACGAUUGACAGAUUGAAAGCUCUUUCUUAAUGAAGUGGAUGGUGGUGCAUGGCCGUUCUUAGUUGGUGGAGUGAUUUGUCUGGUUAAUUCCGAUAACGAACGAGACUCUGUCCUGCUAAAUAGUUGGGUCGUCCUUCGUGCGAUCCAAGUUCUUCUUAGAGGGACUGGCUGCGUCUAGCAGCACGAGAUUGAGCAAUAACAGGUCUGUGAUGCCCUUAG